Molecule: non-coding RNA, 30 nt
Filed under: unclassified sequences
Description: L31-Firmicutes ribosomal protein leader
Rfam family: L31-Firmicutes ribosomal protein leader
Source: RNAcentral
CUAUGACACAAGAUGUCAUGGCGGAAGGAG